This 485-nucleotide ribosomal RNA is filed under the name Streptococcus gordonii. RNAcentral's name for it is "bacterial SSU rRNA". It matches the Rfam family "Bacterial small subunit ribosomal RNA", at positions 28 to 488 of the family's 1533-position model. Lineage: Bacteria; Bacillati; Bacillota; Bacilli; Lactobacillales; Streptococcaceae. The record is from RNAcentral.
GACGAACGCUGGCGGCGUGCCUAAUACAUGCAAGUAGAACGCACAGUUUAUACCGUAGCUUGCUACACCAUAGACUGUGAGUUGCGAACGGGUGAGUAACGCGUAGGUAACCUGCCUGGUAGCGGGGGAUAACUAUUGGAAACGAUAGCUAAUACCGCAUAAUAUUAAUUAUUGCAUGAUAAUUGAUUAAAAGGUGCAAUUGCACCACUACCAGAUGGACCUGCGUUGUAUUAGCUAGUAGGUGAGGUAACGGCUCACCUAGGCGACGAUACAUAGCCGACCUGAGAGGGUGAUCGGCCACACUGGGACUGAGACACGGCCCAGACUCCUACGGGAGGCAGCAGUAGGGAAUCUUCGGCAAUGGACGAAAGUCUGACCGAGCAACGCCGCGUGAGUGAAGAAGGUUUUCGGAUCGUAAAGCUCUGUUGUAAGAGAAGAACGGGUGUGAGAGUGGAAAGUUCACACGGUGACGGUAUCUACCAGAA